AUUCCAGACUCCUACGGGAGGCAGCAGUGGGGGAUAUUGCACAAUGGGGGAAACCCUAAUGCAGCGACGCCGCGUGGGUGACGAAGUAUUUCGGUAUGUAAAGCCCUAUCAGCAGGGAAGAAGAUGACAGUACCUGACUAAGAAGCCCCGGCUAACUACGUGCCAGCAGCCGCGGUAAUACGUAGGGGGCAAGCGUUAUCCGGAUUUACUGGGUGUAAAGGGGGCGCAGACGGCGAUGCAAGCCAGGAGUGAAAGCCCGGGGCCCAACCCCGGGACUGCUCUUGGAACUGCGUGGCUGGAGUGCAGGAGGGGCAGGCGGAAUUCCUGGUGUAGCGGUGAAAUGCGUAGAUAUCAGGAGGAACACCGGUGGCGAAGGCGGCCUGCUGGACUGCAACUGACGUUGAGGCCCGAAAGCGUGGGGAGCAAACAGGAUUAGAUACCCUAGUAAA
This 449-nucleotide ribosomal RNA is filed under the name uncultured bacterium. Its description in RNAcentral is "partial 16S ribosomal RNA". It matches the Rfam family "Bacterial small subunit ribosomal RNA", at positions 328 to 794 of the family's 1533-position model. The record is from RNAcentral.